UAUCACAGCGGUCAUCUCAAAGCGAAUCAAUCUUUCGCCUUUUACUAAAGAUUGCCGUGUGGCAUGACUGCACACAUGUGAACU
This 84-nucleotide small nuclear RNA is filed under the name Perkinsus marinus ATCC 50983. RNAcentral describes it as "U5 spliceosomal RNA". It matches the Rfam family "U5 spliceosomal RNA", at positions 1 to 81 of the family's 117-position model. Rfam says of the family: U5 RNA is a component of both types of known spliceosome. The precise function of this molecule is unknown, though it is known that the 5' loop is required for splice site selection and p220 binding, and that both the 3' stem-loop and the Sm site are important for Sm protein binding and cap methylation. The record is from Rfam by way of RNAcentral. Lineage: Eukaryota; Perkinsozoa; Perkinsida; Perkinsidae.